GAAAUGCGAUAAGUAAUGUGAAUUGCAGAAUUCAGUGAAUCAUCGAAUCUUUGAACGCACCUUGCGCUCCUUGGUAUUCCUUGGAGCAUGCCUGUUUGAGUAUCAUGAAAUUAUCAAAGCAAGUCUUUUGUUCGUUCGAUCGACUUUGUUUUGGACUUGGAGGUCUGCAGAUUCACGUCUGCUCCUCUUAAAUGCAUUAGCUGGAUCUCGGUGAGCUCGGUUCCACUCGGCGUGAUAAGUAUCACUCGCUGAGGACACCCGUAAAAAAGGUGGCCGGGAUCGCGGAUGAACCGCUUCCAAUAGUCCAUUUGCUUGGACAAUACACUUUAUGAUCUGAUCUCAAAUCAGGUAGGACUACCCGCUGAACUUAAGCAUAUCAAUAAGCGGAGGAAAAGAAACU
This 400-nucleotide ribosomal RNA is filed under the name uncultured Ceratobasidiaceae. RNAcentral describes it as "eukaryotic LSU rRNA". The stretch from base 1 to 105 matches the Rfam family "5.8S ribosomal RNA", at positions 50 to 154 of the family's 154-position model. Lineage: Eukaryota; Fungi; Basidiomycota; Agaricomycetes; Cantharellales; Ceratobasidiaceae. The record is from RNAcentral.